This 253-nucleotide ribosomal RNA is filed under the name uncultured bacterium. RNAcentral's name for it is "partial 16S ribosomal RNA". It matches the Rfam family "Bacterial small subunit ribosomal RNA", at positions 524 to 776 of the family's 1533-position model. The record is from RNAcentral.
UACGUAGGGAGCAAGCGUUGUUCGGAUUUACUGGGCGUAAAGGGCGCGUAGGCGGCCUGUCAAGUCAACUGUGAAAUCUCCGGGCUUAACUCGGAACGGUCAGUUGAUACUGUCAGGCUAGAGUGCAGAAAGGGCAAUCGGAAUUCUUGGUGUAGCGGUGAAAUGCGUAGAUAUCAAGAGGAACACCUGAGGCGAAGGCGGGUUGCUAGGCUGACACUGACGCUGAGGCGCGAAAGCCAGGGGAGCAAACGGG